ACCUCCUAGCAUAGUGACUUUAAUAAUAACUAGAGAAAUUAUAUAAAAAGUAAUAGAAAAACUAUUUAAUGUUAUAAAAUUACCUUUAAUAUGACGAGAGACAUAUCUCCUUUAUGUCAUUAGAGGGAAAGAAGUACAACCAUACAGUAAAAACAGAAGUGAAAGUGAGGGUUGUCCUCCAAGGAGCCAUCCAGCUUAUCUUCCGCCGUCCAGAUGGGCCGCGUCUGCUGCUCUCGAAUGAUAGCCUUGAACUCCUGGUACCAGGUGUCACUCGUGCCAUUCAGAGGGAUGGUGGCUGUGAAGAGGUGGCUGCUCUGCUUCCGCAGCUUCUGGGCUUGUGCGUAGAGGCGGCGGGUACUGCGGCAGGAGGCAGGCGCCAGCCAACUUAGCUCCUUCUAAAUUGUCCUCAUACAUCCAGUGAUUUUCAGGUGGAGUUUCGCUCUUGUUGCCCAGGCUGGAGUACAAUGGGGAGAUCUCAGCUCACUGUGGCCUCCGCCUCCCAGUUUCAAGCUAUUCUCCUGCCUCAGCCUCCGAGUAGCUGGAAUUACAGGUCAUUUUCAUUCAAAGACUGAUUGAGAAAAUCUCAGAAGAUUAAAGAGAAUAAAGGAUCUGACUUGAAAU
RNAcentral lists this long non-coding RNA (621 nucleotides) under Homo sapiens (human). Its description in RNAcentral is "long non-coding RNA NONHSAT149495.1". Lineage: Eukaryota; Metazoa; Chordata; Mammalia; Primates; Hominidae. The record is from RNAcentral.